AGUGAACGCUGGCGGUAGGCCUAACACAUGCAAGUCGAACGGCAGCACAGUAAGAGCUUGCUCUUACGGGUGGCGAGUGGCGUACGGGUGAGGAAUACAUCGGAAUCUACUUUUUCGUGGGGGAUAACGUAGGGAAACUUACGCUAAUACCGCAUACGACCUACGGGUGAAAGCAGGGGAUCUUCGGACCUUGCGCGAUUGAAUGAGCCGAUGUCGGAUUAGCUAGUUGGCGGGGUAAAGGCCCACCAAGGCGACGAUCCGUAGCUGGUCUGAGAGGAUGAUCAGCGACACUGGAACUGAGACACGGUCCAGACUCCUACGAGAGGCAGCAGUGGGGAAUAUUGGACAAUGGGCGCAAGCCUGAUCCAGCCAUACCGCGUGGGUGAAGAAGGCCUUCGGGUUGUAAAGCCCUUUUGUUGGGAAAGAAAAGCAGCAGGUUAAUACCCCGCUGUUCUGACGGUACCCAAAGAAUAAGCACCGGCUAACUUCGUG
RNAcentral lists this ribosomal RNA (492 nucleotides) under uncultured bacterium. RNAcentral describes it as "partial 16S ribosomal RNA". It matches the Rfam family "Bacterial small subunit ribosomal RNA", at positions 29 to 507 of the family's 1533-position model. The record is from RNAcentral.